RNAcentral lists this long non-coding RNA (1946 nucleotides) under Xyrichtys novacula (pearly razorfish). The record is from RNAcentral. Lineage: Eukaryota; Metazoa; Chordata; Actinopteri; Labriformes; Labridae.
GGGUUUGCGGGCUUCCUGAAUGUAAUACCCGGGUAUUAGAUUUUAAGGCCAGGGAAAGGUUUAAGUUUUUUGGCGUUAGGGUUAAAAUCACUGUCCAAAACCUUUGUAGGAACUCUUUUCCAACCUUUUGGAGUUAGUUAGACCAAAAAAUAUGAAAAAAGAAAAAAAUAUUAUUGGGGGUUUUCGGGCUCCCUGAAAGUAAUACCCGGGUAUUAGGUUUUAAGGCUGGGGUAAGGUUUAAGGUUUUUGGCGUUAGGGUUAAAAUCACUGUCCAAAACCUUUGUAGGAACUCUUUUCCAACCUUUUGGAGUUAGUUAGACCAAAAAAUAUGAAAAAAGAAAAAAAUAUUAUUGGGGGUUUUCGGGCUCCCUGAAAGUAAUACCCGGGUAUUAGGUUUUGGGGCUAUGGUAAGGUUUAAGUUUUUUGGCGUUAGGGUUAAAAUCACUGUCCAAAACCUUUGUAGGAACUCUUUUCCAACCUUUUGGAGUUGGUUACACCAACAAAAAUGUAAAAUGAAGAAAAAAAUAUUUGGGGUGUUCAGGCUUCCUGAAGGUAAUACCCGGGUAAUAGAUUUCAAGGCUAGGGUAAGGUUUAAGGUUUUUGGCGUUAGGGUUAAAAUCACUGUCCAAAACCUUUGUAGGAACUCUUUUCCAACCUUUUGGAGUUAGUUAGACCAAAAAAUAUGAAAAAAGAAAAAAAUAUUAUUGGGGGUUUUCGGGCUCCCUGAAAGUAAUACCCGGGUAUUAGGUUUUGGGGCUAUGGUAAGGUUUAAGUUUUUUGGCGUUAGGGUUAAAAUCACUGUCCAAAACCUUUGUAGGAACUCUUUUCCAACCUUUUGGAGUUGGUUACACCAAAUAAUGUAAAAUGAAGAAAAAAAUAUUUGGGGUGUUCAGGCUUCCUGAAGGUAAUACCCGGGUAUUAGAUUUCAAGGCUAGGGUAAGGUUUAAGGUUUUUGGCGUUAGGGUUAAAAUCACUGUCCAAAACCUUUGUAGGAACUCUUUUCCAACCUUUUGGAGUUAGUUAGACCAAAAAAUAUGAAAAAAGAAAAAAAUAUUAUUGGGGGUUUUCGGGCUUCCUGAAAGUAAUACCCGUGUAUUAGGUUUUGGGACUAGGGAAAGGUUUAAGGGUUUUGGCGUUAGGGUUAAAAUCACUGUCCAAAACCUUUGUAGGAACUCUUUUCCAACCUUUUGGAGUUAGUUAGACCAAAAAAAAAUGAAAAAUUAAAAAAAAUAUAUUUGGGGUGUUCAGGCUUCCUAAAAGUAAUACCCGGGUAUUAGGUUAUGGGGCUAUGGUAAGGUUUAAGGUUUUUGGCGUUAGGGUUAAAAUCACUGUCCAAAACCUUUGUAGGAACUCUUUUCCAACCUUUUGGAGUUAGUUAGACCAAAAAAUAUGAAAAAAGAAAAAAAUAUUAUUGGGGGUUUUCGGGCUCCCUGAAAGUAAUACCCGGGUAUUAGGUUUUGGGGCUAUGGUAAGGUUUAAGUUUUUUGGCGUUAGGGUUAAAAUCACUGUCCAAAACCUUUGUAGGAACUCUUUUCCAAACUUUUGGAGUUAGUUAGACCAAAAAAAAAGAAAAAUGAAAAAAAAAUAUUUGGGGUGUUCAGGCUUCCUAAAAGUAAUACCCGGGUAUUAGGUUAUGGGGCUAUGGUAAGGUUUAACGUUUUGGCGUUAGGUUUAAAAUCACUGUCCAAAACCUUUGUAGGAACUCUUUAACAACCUUUUGGAUUUAGUUAGACCAAAAAAAAAAGAAAAAUGAAAAAAAAAUAUUUGGGGUGUUCAGGCUUCCUAAAAGUAAUACCCAGGUAUUAGGUUAUGGGGCUAUGGUAAGGUUUAAGUUUUUUGGCGUUAGGGUUAAAAUCACUGUCCAAAACCUUUGUAGGAACUCUUUUCCAACCUUUUGGAGUUAGUUAGACCAAAAAAAAAUGAAAAAUUAAAAAACAAUAUUUGGG